Molecule: ribosomal RNA, 273 nt
Filed under: Triticum aestivum (bread wheat)
Lineage: Eukaryota; Viridiplantae; Streptophyta; Magnoliopsida; Poales; Poaceae
Description: partial small subunit ribosomal RNA
Source: RNAcentral
AUGUACGCCGGCUCCAGCCCCACUUCAGAGAUUCGGAACUCGGAACUGCGCUGCAUCCGUCCACCUGAACGUGUUCUUCAAGUGCUCCACCCUGGCUGCGAUCUCCUCCUCGCUGAGAAAUGCAACACAAUGCAGCGCGUGCUUGAACAUCCCAGUGUGACGGGGUAUACCUAUGUUUUCAGCGCAUCCCACCAUCGCCUGGAGACACUGUAGGUUGGCGGUGAUCAACCUCAGUCUUCGGACGCACAGCUUGGCAAUAUCGCAAUCUCGUAA